GGGUACCCUAUAGCCGCCCUAUGGGGUAUCCUAUGGCCACCCUAUGGGGUAUCCUAUGGGGUACCCUAUGGGGUAUCCUAUAGCCACCCUAUAGCCACCCUAUGGGCACCCUAUGGGGUACCCUAUAGCUGCCCUAUGGGGUAUCCUAUAGCCACAAUAUGGGGUAUCCUAUAGCCACAAUAUAGGGUAUCCCAUAGGGUAUCCUAUGGGGUAUCCUAUGGGGUACCCUCUGGGCCACCCUAUAGCCAGCCUAUGGGGUACCCUAUAGCCACCCUAUAGCCACAAUAUAGGGUAUCCCAUGGGGUAUCUUAUGGGGUAUCCUAUGGGCCCCCUAUGGGUACCCUA
RNAcentral lists this long non-coding RNA (345 nucleotides) under Coturnix japonica (Japanese quail). RNAcentral's name for it is "lncRNA (ENSCJPG00005002707.1)". The record is from RNAcentral. Lineage: Eukaryota; Metazoa; Chordata; Aves; Galliformes; Phasianidae.